CCUACGGGAGGCAGCAGUGGGGAAUAUUGGGCAAUGGAGGCAACUCUGACCCAGCAACGCCGCGUGAAUGAUGAAGGUCUUCGGGUUGUAAAGUUCUUUUCUAAGCGAGGAAGGAAGUGAGGGUACCUUACGAGUAAGCCGCGGCUAACUACGUGCCAGCAGCCGGGGUAAUACGUAGGAGGCAAGCGUUAUCCGGAAUGACUGGGCGUAAGGGGCGCGUAGGUGGUUAGACAAGUUAGUAGCGAAACUCCGGAGCUUAACUUCGGAACUACUACUAAAACUGGUGGAUUUGAGUGCAGGAGGGGCAAUCGGAAUUCCUAGUGUAGCGGUGGAAUGCGUAGAUAUUAGGAGGAACACCAGAGGCGAAGGCGGAUUGUUAGAAUGUAACUGACACUGAGGUACGAAAGCGUGGGGAGCAAACAGGAUUAGAUACCCGUGUAGUC
Molecule: ribosomal RNA, 443 nt
Filed under: uncultured bacterium
Lineage: Bacteria
Description: partial 16S ribosomal RNA
Rfam family: Bacterial small subunit ribosomal RNA
Source: RNAcentral